UUCAACUUCUUGCGGAGCUGGCUCGUCCCUAAGGACACACACAAGCGGCCUUUGAUUACCCUGGAGGACAGCUGCCCUAGAGGCAGAUUGCUGACAUACCACUAGAACAAUCCCUCCCCUCUGUUCUGAUGCUGGCUAGCACAGUCUUCCCUGCUUCUAGUUCCUUCUGUUUUCUAUCCCACCUCCGAUCUCUGCUAUUGGUUUAGUGAGGUGUCACAUUAAAAAUGGUAGUAGGGAUAUUUGUGAUUAGAUUUUCUUUCUUGCGCUCUGCUUAGAGAAUGUGGCAAGUAGCCAGAUUUCAAUAGCAGGCCUUUCAGGGGAAAAGUAGGUGAUUUUGUGCAAAGUAAUACUUCUUUUGUUUCUUUUAGCUUUUCUCUUGAGUUCUUGUUCCUUUUAAAAUGAGAAAUCUAAGGUAUUUCAAUUCUGGCUAUUCUUCUC
RNAcentral lists this long non-coding RNA (438 nucleotides) under Bos taurus (domestic cattle). RNAcentral describes it as "long non-coding RNA NONBTAT007469". The record is from RNAcentral. Lineage: Eukaryota; Metazoa; Chordata; Mammalia; Artiodactyla; Bovidae.